UGGACCUCAGAUCAGGCAAGAUUACCCGCUGAGUUUAAGCAUAUCACUAAGCGGAGGAAAAGAAACU
RNAcentral lists this ribosomal RNA (67 nucleotides) under Syzygiella nipponica. RNAcentral's name for it is "partial 26S ribosomal RNA". It matches the Rfam family "Eukaryotic large subunit ribosomal RNA", at positions 1 to 66 of the family's 3401-position model. RNAcentral also lists the same sequence under 2 other names. The record is from RNAcentral. Lineage: Eukaryota; Viridiplantae; Streptophyta; Jungermanniopsida; Jungermanniales; Adelanthaceae.